Bos grunniens (domestic yak) is the source of this 97-nucleotide small nucleolar RNA. NCBI's taxonomy places the organism in Eukaryota, Metazoa, Chordata, Mammalia, Artiodactyla, Bovidae. The record is from Ensembl.
AUCCUUUUGUAGUUCAUGAGCGUGAUGAUUGGGUGUUCACGCUAUUGCGUGAUUCGUGCAGACCUUGUUACGACACUGGCACAUUACCCAUCUGACG